Long non-coding RNA from Condylostylus longicornis, 1282 nucleotides. RefSeq lists it as uncharacterized. The transcript is spliced from 4 exons. Lineage: Eukaryota; Metazoa; Arthropoda; Insecta; Diptera; Dolichopodidae. The record is from RefSeq and is a predicted model, not a curated record.
GUUCUUAUACGCUUUCAACUUAAUUAAAAAAAAGUAACAAAACAAAUAUUGUAUACAUAAUAUAUUAUAGCAAGGAGGAAAACUUAAUAAAAUGAAAGUGAAAAUAAAAUAAUACGGAAAAAAAUAUUGAAAAAAUAUAAAUAGAAAAUAGUUAUCCUGUAUAGGUAGUACACAUAUAUAUAUAUAAACAUAGUAUAAUUUCAAUUGUUUCGAUUUUAUUAAAUUAUAUAGAGAAAAAUAUAAAAAUAUUGAAUUAUGAAAAAUUGAAAUGAAAUACUAGUAGAUAUAAAAAUAUUUGAAAUUUAUAAAAAAUAUCCUUUUUAGUCGUUUUUCUUGUUAAACAUAAAUUUUAGUGAAUACGAAAGUAUUAGAGGGAAAAAAAAAUUUUAAUAAAAAAGUGAAGAAUGUUUUUUACGUUUCAAAUAUGAAGAAGAAAAAAUUAUUGUAAUAGAAUAAAAAGAAAAUAAAGAAAAAAUAAACACCGAAACAGAUAAAAAGGAUAAAACAAGUGUAAAGAAGCGAGAAAAAAAUUUUUUUUUUUUGAACUUCGAAUAUAGAUAGCAACAUAAAUAUUUCAAAAAUUUUUAUUAAAUUUUGAUUUAAUGUAUAAAAUUCUUAAUAAAUAAAUUUUCAACAAUAUCACUAAUAUACAUUAAUAAUUUAAACAAUUAAAAAUAUAAAAGAAAAAAUAUUAAAUCUUAAAUAAAUGCUGAUAUGAAUAGCAAUGAUAUAAAAUCAAAUAUAAUUAUUGGGUCUAUAUAGUGAAAUAAAAUUAUAGUUAAAAAAAAUUAUUAAUAAAUAUUGUGACGAGUGUUUCAUAAAUUUCUGGUUCCAAUUUCAAAAAUUCUAAUCAUGAAUCUAAUACUGAGAGUUUUGUGAAUUAUUAAAUUUUUUUAAAAAUCAAUAAAAAAAAAGCAAAAAUUAAUUAAUAAUUUUAAAUAAAAAAGUUAGAAUUCUUAUACAAUUGAAAAGUUAAAAAAAUUUAUUGUAUUACAAAAAAGUAUAAAAGUUAAUUAAAGUUUAAUAACAAUUAAAAACGUUAUAGAGAAUGGAUAUCCUUUAAAAACAUCUAAUAAUAUAAAUUACAUGUAUACAGCCACAGGAACCAAAUUAUCUAAUUAAAAACACAAAGCAAAUUAUUAAUUAGCCAUUUAACAUGAAAACGUAAAUUUCUUCAUGUGCAAAAAUAUAAUUAAACUGAAACAUAUCAUAAAUAAUUGUUGAAUAAACAACAAUUAUGCCUAUGCACUUUAGUCAAUUUGUGAUACUCCUUUUUUUGGGU